RNAcentral lists this long non-coding RNA (257 nucleotides) under Mytilus galloprovincialis (Mediterranean mussel). The record is from RNAcentral. Lineage: Eukaryota; Metazoa; Mollusca; Bivalvia; Mytilida; Mytilidae.
CCAUGGACAAAAAACAAAAUCGGGGUAACAAACUAAAACUGAGGAAAACGUAUUAAAUAUAAGAGGAGAACAACGACACAACACUACAAUGUAACACACACAGAAACGGACCAAGCAUCAGAAAAAAUCCCCCGAGAAUAACAAAUAUAACAUCAAAACCAAAUACGUGAAUUUGGGAUAGACAAGUACCGUGACACGUCUUAUCGCAAUGUGAAUUUACACUCAAAAAUAAGAGAAAACCAACAAAAAAACACUAA